CCUACGGGAGGCAGCAGUGAGGAAUAUUGGUCAAUGGGCGAGAGCCUGAACCAGCCAAGUCGCGUGAAGGAUGACGGCCCUACGGGUUGUAAACUUCUUUUGUCAGGGAGCAAUUGGGUCCACGCGUGGGCUUAGCGAGAGUACCUGAAGAAAAAGCAUCCGCUAACUCCGUGCCAGCAGCCGCGGUAAUACGGAGGAUGCGAGCGUUAUCCGGAUUUAUUGGGUUUAAAGGGUGCGUAGGCGGAAUAUCAAGUCAGCGGUAAAAAUUCGGGGCUCAACCCCGUCGUGCCGUUGAAACUGAUGGUCUUGAGUGGGCGAGAGGUAUGCGGAAUGCGGGGUGUAGCGGUGAAAUGCAUAGAUAUCACGCAGAACUCCGAUUGCGAAGGCAGCAUACCGGCGCCCAACUGACGCUGAGGCACGAAAGCGUGGGUAUCGAACAGGAUUAGAUACCCGGGUAGUC
This 460-nucleotide ribosomal RNA is filed under the name uncultured bacterium. Its description in RNAcentral is "partial 16S ribosomal RNA". It matches the Rfam family "Bacterial small subunit ribosomal RNA", at positions 338 to 795 of the family's 1533-position model. The record is from RNAcentral.